UACAGAGGUAUACACGAUUUGUUUGUAUUAGGGGUAUUCAGACCAGCCUUGUUAAUUCGUUAGUCGUUAUUCGGUAGUUUUUGACACGUAUUUUGUUUUUGUAAAAUUAACAGACUAUCGUUCUACCGAGUAACGAACUAUCCAUCUGGCAAGCUUGGUAAUUGUUUCGUUACUCGGUAAUAUCACAUCAGCUGUUUAUUUGUUAUUCGUUGCUUUAUAUAUUUUUAAACGGGAAAAAUUAAUUUGGUGCUCACUUCGUGAAUUUGGAAAAAUUUUGCAAAAUGGAACCUCAAAAGAAAAUACGCAGGAGGGCAAAGCCUACAAAAAAUGGAGGGAGGAGGAAAACCAUUUGGUUCUAGAAUAUUUACUAGAAAAUGUGGAAAUUGAGAAACCAAACGCCCAAUUGUACUACCAAAAAUUAAUUGAAACAACAAAUAUCGAUGCGACUACGGACAUGUUGCGCUGCAAGGUCCUGUACUGUAAGCAGAUGUAUAAUAAAGCUGAGGGGUGGCGCAAAUCGACAGCAAAACUUUCACAAAUGCGUUCGAAUUAUGAACGGUUGUCGAUUCUAUUUAGGAGUAAGCCGAAGCCAAUUGUGUUAUAGACGUGCAACUCUGAAGUGUCACAUACUGCAGCGAUUUUGCAGACCUUGUAGAGGUAGUGGAAAAUGCAGCCGAAUUAUCACAAUCAUCUGCGGAACCAUCGGGUUCACUUAACGACAAAGCAGAACAGACAACAGUAGGAGCAGAGGUAGCAACAGUUCCUCCUACCACUUCGUCGUUCCUCGAAAAAGUGAAAAAACGUCCUCCAAAGAAUAUUCUUAGUGAACUUAAAGAUAUACAAAAGAAAACAGAACAUUUUUUUGAGCCACGAAUAGAAAUUGAAAAAGAAAAGUUAAAUAAAGAUUUUGAAAUAAAAAAAUUGGAGUUAGAGCAAAAAGAAAGACUGGCAAUGAUUGAACUA
Molecule: long non-coding RNA, 963 nt
Organism: Bactrocera tryoni
Lineage: Eukaryota; Metazoa; Arthropoda; Insecta; Diptera; Tephritidae
Exons: 4
Source: RefSeq, a predicted model, not a curated record